Molecule: transfer RNA, 62 nt
Filed under: Tribolium confusum (confused flour beetle)
Lineage: Eukaryota; Metazoa; Arthropoda; Insecta; Coleoptera; Tenebrionidae
Description: tRNA-Cys
Source: RNAcentral
GGUUUAGUAGUCAAUUAUGACAUUGGAUUGCAAAUCUGAAGGUGAAGUUAGUUCUUAAGCCU